RNAcentral lists this ribosomal RNA (252 nucleotides) under uncultured bacterium. RNAcentral's name for it is "partial 16S ribosomal RNA". It matches the Rfam family "Bacterial small subunit ribosomal RNA", at positions 525 to 776 of the family's 1533-position model. The record is from RNAcentral.
ACGGGGGGUGCAAGCGUUAUUCGGAAUUAUUGGGCGUAAAGGGCGCGUAGGCGGUCUUGUCGGUCAGAUGUGAAAGCCCGGGGCUCAACCCUGGAAGUGCAUUUGAAACAGCAAGACUUGAGUACGGGAGAGGAGAGCGGAAUUCCUGGUGUAGAGGUGAAAUUCGUAGAUAUCAGGAGGAACACCGAUGGCGAAGGCAGCUCUCUGGACCGAUACUGACGCUGAGGCGCGAAGGUGUGGGUAGCGAACGGG